GAGUACUUGCUCAUGCUCAACCCGAUUUCAGCAAAGUAAAGUCUCUGAGCAUUUACUCAAAACCAUAUGAAUAAAACGAUACUUUACUCAGAGUAAGUUCGAAAUUCGAACAUAGCUUUUACUCUGUCAAAAUGUUUGUUUUGUUUUGGCUCGAUUGUUACUUAUGCUAAAAGUAAUCCAGCGAUACAAAACCGUGAGAACAGAAGUGCCUUUGCGGAGGAUGUUAACCGUGUUUUGUCGUUUGUUGCCGCCUAAUGGAGGCACACAACUUGGUUAAACUAAACAGUCAGCAUCACGUCUGCCGGAAAUGCGUCGAUAACCCUCAUCGUUGGAUAGAUAGCUACGAGAGAGCAGGUGACCGUGCUCAAGUACAAACCUGAGCUCACCAAAGGACAACAUCGAUCGGAGUCCCUACGUGUUGAUCCGCGUCAGAAUCUGAACCGGCAGAAUUUCGUCAGCAGCAACAAUAUUGAUUCCGCUGGGCAAAAUACUCAAGGUAAAGCCACGAAGGACAGAAUGAACUGGCGAAAACUUUCGCGGACAAUUUGGCUGUCAUAAGCGAGUUCUACACGCCAUAGACGACCGGAUUAGUAAUCAGUAGAGGAGAAGCCAUAGGACAAGGCACCGGCAUUGCUCAAACGGAGAUGCUGUCGGUUUGAAAUGCCACAGCCACCCUCGGUAACAUCGUAACCAGAGUGGAAUAGAGGGCACGCAUUCCCCAUCUACCAUGGCCAGUGAAAAAAUAAAUGAAUUAUGUAUGCUACUUAA
Molecule: long non-coding RNA, 768 nt
Filed under: Aedes aegypti (yellow fever mosquito)
Lineage: Eukaryota; Metazoa; Arthropoda; Insecta; Diptera; Culicidae
Description: lncRNA AAEL022451
Source: RNAcentral